Molecule: ribosomal RNA, 722 nt
Filed under: Retiboletus nigrogriseus
Lineage: Eukaryota; Fungi; Basidiomycota; Agaricomycetes; Boletales; Boletaceae
Description: LSU rRNA
Rfam family: Eukaryotic large subunit ribosomal RNA
Source: RNAcentral
UAGUAACUGCGAGUGAAGCGGGACGAGCUCAAAUUUCGAAUCUGGCGGCGUCUUCGACCCGUCCGAGUUGUAAUCUAGAGAAGCGUCUUCCGCGCUGGACCGUGUACAAGUCUCCUGGAAGGGAGCGUCAUAGAGGGUGAGAAUCCCGUCUUUGACACGGACUACCAAGUGCCUAUGUGAUGCGCUCUCGACGAGUCGAGUUGUUUGGGAAUGCAGCUCAAAAUGGGUGGUAAACUCCAUCUAAAGCUAAAUACGGGCGAGAGACCGAUAGCGAACAAGUACCGUGAGGGAAAGAUGAAAAGAACUUUGGAAAGAGAGUUAAACAGUACGUGAAAUUGCUGAAAGGGAAACGCUUGAUGUCAGUCACGUCGGCCAGGGAUCAACCUUGCUUUCCUCGCUCGGUGUAUUUCCUGGUAGACGGGUCAGCAUCAGUUUCGGUCGCCGUACAAGGGCCAAAGGGGGAAGGUGGCACUCCUCGGAGUGUGUUAUAGCCCCUCGGUCGGAUGCGGUGGGAUUUGGGACUGAGGAACUCAGCACGGGGCUUCGUCCCCUCGUUGCUUAGGAUGCUGGCAUAAUGGCCUCAAGCGACCCGUCUUGAAACACGGACCAAGGAGUCUAACUUGCAUGCGAGUGUUCGAGUGGUAAACCCGAGCGCGCAAUGAAAGUGAACGUCGAGAGCCUUUUCUGGUUUGGGGAGGUGCAUCGACGCCCGGACCUGAGUC